Molecule: ribosomal RNA, 253 nt
Filed under: uncultured bacterium
Lineage: Bacteria
Description: partial 16S ribosomal RNA
Rfam family: Bacterial small subunit ribosomal RNA
Source: RNAcentral
UACGAAGGGGGCUAGCGUUGCUCGGAAUCACUGGGCGUAAAGCGCACGUAGGCGGAUCUUUAAGUCAGGGGUGAAAUCCUGGAGCUCAACUCCAGAACUGCCUUUGAUACUGGGAAUCUAGAGUCCGGAAGAGGUGAGUGGAACUCCGAGUGUAGAGGUGAAAUUCGUAGAUAUUCGGAAGAACACCAGUGGCGAAGGCGGCUCACUGGUCCGGUACUGACGCUGAGGUGCGAAAGCGUGGGGAGCAAACAGG